Molecule: ribosomal RNA, 335 nt
Filed under: uncultured bacterium
Lineage: Bacteria
Description: bacterial SSU rRNA
Rfam family: Bacterial small subunit ribosomal RNA
Source: RNAcentral
UGGAGGAUGAAGGGUCUAUGACUUGUAAACUCCUGUAAAGAAGGAAAAAAUUCCCAUUAGAUGGGAGAUGAUGGUACUUCUGGAGUAAGCCCCGGCUAACUCCGUUCCACCAGCCGCGGUAAUACGUAGGGGGAAAGCGUUGUCCGGAUUUACUGGGUGUAAAGGGUGCUCAGGCGGAUUUGUAAGUCAGAGGUGAAAUCUUACAGCUUAACUGUGAAACUGCCUUUUNUACUGCAAGCCUAGAGUAUGGAAGAGUGUGAUGGAAUAUCUGGUGUAGCAGUGAAAUGCGUAGAAAUCAGAUAGAACACCAAAGGCGAAGGCAGUCACUUGGUCCA